AGUGAACGCUGGCGGCAGGCCUAACACAUGCAAGUCGAACGGCAGCACAGUAAGAGCUUGCUCUUACGGGUGGCGAGUGGCGGACGGGUGCGGAAUACAUCGGAAUCUACUUUUUCGUGGGGGAUAACGUAGGGAAACUUACGCUAAUACCGCAUACGACAUACGGGUGAAAGCAGGGGAUCUUCGGACCUUGCGCGAUUGAAUGAGCCGAUGUCGGAUUAGCUAGUUGGCGGGGUAAAGGCGCACCAAGGCGACGAUCCGUAGCUGGUCUGAGAGGAUGAUCAGCCACACUGGAACUGAGACACGGUCCAGACUCCUACGGGAGGCAGCAGUGGGGAAUAUUGGACAAUGGGCGCAAGCCUGAUCCAGCCAUACCGCGUGGGUGAAGAAGGCCUUCGGGUUGUAAAGCGCUUUUGUUCGGAAAGAAAAGCAGCAGGUUAAUACACGGCUGUUCUGACGGUACCGAAAGAAUAAGCACCGGCUAACUUCGUG
Molecule: ribosomal RNA, 492 nt
Filed under: uncultured bacterium
Lineage: Bacteria
Description: partial 16S ribosomal RNA
Rfam family: Bacterial small subunit ribosomal RNA
Source: RNAcentral